RNAcentral lists this long non-coding RNA (2205 nucleotides) under Homo sapiens (human). Its description in RNAcentral is "HSALNT0297408". Lineage: Eukaryota; Metazoa; Chordata; Mammalia; Primates; Hominidae. The record is from RNAcentral.
GUAGAGGCCUGGGACACGGGGAACUGUAAGGAUGGGAGGAAGGCCGCGCAGGGGCACCAGUUCUGCCGCCGCGGCCUAGCGCCCCAGGUCCCGGAGAAGGGGCACCAGGGCGGCCAGGGGCCCAAGCUUCCGGGGCACGCUCACCCGCGCAGGACUGAGGCCGCGUCCGCUCCCGCUCCCGCUCGGGCCGUCUCCCCCUUCCAGGCUCCAGGCCAGGCUUCCGCCCGACAAGCCCUGACCCGCUCGUCAGGACUGCGGCCCGGGGUUGGUGGUGCGGAGCGGAGCGGAGCGGAGCGUAGAGUAGAAUCCACUUCCCCGGGUUUUGGGAGGGGGCCGCAGCCCGCUUUCCGGGCGGCGGGGAGGCGGGGCCACCGCGGGGGCGGAGCUCGGCUGGGAGCCGGCAGUGGCUUGGGAGGGAGGGAGGGAGAAGGAGAGGGGCGGGAAGGCUCCUCGCGUUUUCCACGCCCCCGCCCAGCUCUGGGCUGGUGGUAAAUCUCGGAACUGGUCCGGGCUGGGCGAGUUCUGGACGGAGGGGCACGUUUGGGAAUCCUCUUGGAAGAAUUUACGUAAUCGAAUGGGCUGGGACUGGUGGAAAAGAGUUGGACCGUCCGGAAAGAAGCAGGAGGGCGGCGCGGGGGCCUGGCACCCUUAGAAAGUGGGAAGUGUGAGUGUAAAAGGGAGGGGCACUUCUGCCCGUUGGGCCCAAAAACCCUUUUCUGGCUUUAGCUAGUAGAGCCACUCAAAAUUUAAACGGAGUCAGCUUGAUGUGGCAUAUAUGAUAAGCUGGAUAAUAUUUCCUGCACCACCGCACCCCUCCCCCCACCCCAACACCAACAAGAAAAUAACACAAGUCACGGUUCUUGUUCCUUGUGGGCUGACAUUUCCCUGUUUUGCCAACCUCUGGAGCCACGUGUCCCAAGCAGCUUGUAGUUGAGAAGUGAUGGGGGAGAGGAGACAGCACGGGAGAGGAAGGAGGGAAGCCAGCUUAUAUUCAGGUGCCUUAAGUAUUUAAAAAUAUUUUCAGUGUAAUAGUCGAUGCAUUCAAAAGAGCAUAUUUACCAAAUAUGUAAAAUUUAAAGUAUGCUAAUGAAACUAUCACUCCACCACGUUAUCAGUAUUUAGCAUGUAUCUAUGCAUCUCCAGGAUUCUACUCCUGGCCUCUUAGCUCACCACCACUAUCUUCAGUUUUGUCCCUCUUUGCCAUUUUUAGUGGUUUUAUCAUAUUUGGAUGCAUUCCUGUGUAUUGGUGUAUUUUUCUUCUUUUUGAGCUUUAUAAAAAUACAUAUAGCCUGGAAUUCGCUUUUUAUCACUCAACAUUUGUUUUUUUGGUUCAUCCAAGUUGUUACGUGUAGUAACAGAACAUUUAUUUCUUACUGCCUAGUCAAAAGGAAGUUUUCUCCUGUCAGGAAUGUAUUCAAUACUGUAGCGGAUAGGAUUAUAAAUGCACUUUAAGUAUUUUCUUUAUUGAUGGGAACCACACAGACUAAAUGUAUCAGACUUCCCAAGUUCGUAGGUCACAUACCUAUAACAGAACUCUUUUCCUGGGUUUUGUGACAUUUCUAAUUGUUGUAAUUUCUUUUGCCAUUAUAAAAAUUAGUCACUUUUGAACCUAAUUUGUAUUCAUCAUUCUGAAUCUUUUUCUUUAAAAGCCUCCUCUUUUCCAAUUAUAUAAGCUCAUACCCCAUAAAACCUGAAUCUGCCCCUAGUAAUUACUAAUAAGGCUAGUAGGAGCAUUCUUGUUCACCUUCUGUGCAUGCGCUGGACUCUAAUUUGAACCUAGGAUUAGCACUGCGGCAUCAGAGGCUAUGGGGGCUGUUCAGCUUUCAAAGAUAAAGCAGAAAUGUUUUCAAAGUGGUUGUACCAAUCUAUACUGCCACCAGUACCGACCACAAUUCUCUCUAAAUCCUCGUUAUUUUCACACUUCUUACUUUUUGCUAGUCUACCCAGAAUAAAUACCAUGUUUUUGUCUUAAUUUGCAUUCCGUAAUUACUGAUAAGGCUGAGCACUUUGAAAUAUGUUAUUCAUUCAUGUUUUCUCUUCCUCUUCUAAGGAUGUGUGUGUGUGUACAUAUAUAAAUGUAUAUAUAAUGUAUAUAUGUAUAUAUAAUGAAACAUUCUUUUGUUAAUUGUAGGUGUUGCAGAUAUCUUCUCCCUGUUUAUAGUGUGUUUUCAAAUAAAAAAAUUUUUUGACUUAUUUUGAAAAAAU